UCAUCCUUUCCUCCACCUCUCUAAUAGUGAGUUUUGAGUGUUUGUUUAGUUGUCUUGCUCUCCCAAAAAUUUCUAACAUUUGGUAUCGAAGCCGGUGUGUUGAGAGACAACCAAACUUGGAGAAAAGAUAAAAAACACUAAUGGAACACCAUUCCAAGUUCCUAUGCUAACAAAAGAGAACUAUGGGAAUUGGUGUAUUCGAAUGAAGGCCUUGCUUGGUGCCUAUGAUGUUUGGGAACCGACAGAGUCUGGAGUUGAUGAAGCGGAAGAUGCCGCAGCUACAAAUAAGAAAGAUCAAAAGGCACUCACUCUCAUCCACCAAGGUUUGGAUGACAAGAUGUUCGAGAAGGUUGCAAAUGCGACAACCUCCGAGCAAGCAUGGGAAAUUCUUCAAACUUCCUUUAAAGGUUUGGACAAAGUGAAAAAGGUUCAUCUCCCGACCUUAAGAGGAGAGUUUGAAUCAUUGCAUGUAAAAGAAAAUGAAUCUGCUUCAGAUUACAUUUCAAAAGUUUUGGCUAUUGUCAAUCAAAUGAAAAGAUAUGGUGAAGAGUUGAAGGAUGAUAGGGUCGUUGCAAAAAUACUACGAUCCCUAGAUUCAAAAUUUGAUUAUAUUGUUGUUGCUAUUGAAGAGUCCAAAGACUUGGACACCAUGACCAUAGAUGAACUUUCGAGUUCUUUGCAAGCCUAUGAAGAAAAAUUGAAGAAACCGAAAGAAGAAUCGGUUGAAAAGGCAUUGCAAGCAAAACUUUCCUUCAAGGAGAAAGAUGAAAGGCGUGGUUCGCAGCAAAGAGGUCAUGGAAAUGGAAGAGGUUGUGGUAGAGGAGGAAGAGGUGGUAGUCAACCACCAAAUAGAGACAAUAAAAGCCAAGACUAUAGUCAAAGAAGAGGUCGUGGAAGAUGCAAAGGAUGGAGACAAAAUCAAGGAAGGUAUGACAAAUCGAAUGUUGAAUGUUAUACUUGUCAUAAAUUUGGACAUUUUCCCUGGGAAUGUAAAGAUAAUUCGGAGGAGAAAAACAACUUUGUGGAGAGCAAAAUGAAGACGAGGAUGCCACUCUACUUCUUGCAUCCAAAGGAGAAGAAAGUGUGGAAAAGAACAAAUGGUACCUUGACUCUGGUACAAGUAGUCAUAUUUGUGGAAAGAAAAAUUUAUUUGUGGAGAUUAAGGAGCUGAAUGGUGGCCCAAUCAUUUUUGGAGACUCUUCGCGAGUUCAAAUCAAAGGAAAAGGUACGAUUUUAAUUUGCUUAAAAGAUGAAAAUCAUCAACUAAUCUCCAAUGUUUUGUAUAUGCCGGAGAUGAAAAGUAAUAUUUUAAGUUUGGGACAACUUUUGGAGAAAAAUUAUGACAUUCAUUUGAAAGACAAAAAGUUGUAUAUGAGAGAUGAAAAGGGAAGAUUUUUAGCCAAAGUACUUAUGGCUAAUAAUAAAAUGUUCAUCUUAUAUCUUCAAAAUGAUAUUCCGAGGUGCUUGUUUUCAUGUGCCAAAGAUUCAUCUUGGGUUUGACAUAUGAGAUUUGGUCACUUGAAUUUUGAUAGCCUAAGGUUGAUGAAGAAGGAAAGCAUGGUGAAUGGAUUGCCAAUAAUUGAUCAUCCCAACCAACUUUGUAAAGGAUGUCUCUUUGGAAAGCAAGCAAGGAAAAGCUUUCAUAAAGAGUCUUUAACAAGAGCAAGAUGCCCUCUCGAGUUAAUUCACAUGGAUGUGUGCGGACCUAUCAAGCCAUCUUCACUUGGUAAAAGUAAUUUUUUUUACUUUUCAUUGAUGAUUUAUCUCGAAAAACUUGGGUUUAUUUUUUGAAGGCAAAAUCGGAGGUGUUUGAAAUCUUCAAAAAGUUUAAGAGCAUGGUGGAGAAGCAAAGUGGUUAUCAAAUUAAGUCACUUAGGUCCGAUAAUGGUGGGGAAUUCACUUCAAAUGAAUUCAAGAUUAUAUGUGAAAAAAUGGAAUUCGUCAUUACUUGACAGUUCCGAGAUCAACACAACAAAAUGGCAUCGUGGAGAAAAAGAAUCGAACUAUUCUCAACAUGGCGAGGAGUAUGUUGAAGAGCAAAAAUAUGCCAAAAGAGUUCUGGGCUGAAGCUGUUGCUUGUGCAGUGUACUUAUCAAAUCGGUUUCACACCAAAAGCAUUCGUGGAAAAACACCACAAGAAGCAUGGAGCGGUUUCAAGCCAAAACAUGCUCAUUUGUGAGUUUUUGGGAGCAUCGCAAUGCACAUGUGUCAGAUGAGAAGAGGUCUAAGCUUGAUGACAAAAGUGAGGGGUAUGUCUUCAUUGACUAUGAUCAAAGUUCUAAAGGUUAUAAAUUAUAUAACCCCAAAAAUGGCAAGGUCACCAUAAGUAGAGAUGUUGAGUUUGAUGAAGAUAAUGCUUGGGAGUGGAAAUCUAAAGAGCAAGAAUACUCUUUUAGUCCAUUCUUUGAAGAUGAUGAAGAAGAAGAUGGGGAGCAGGCUAUCACACCACCUUCAACACCUCCGCCGCAAGAUCAAGAAGUUGGGGAAUCAAGCUCAAGUUCAAGUGAAGCACCUCACAAGAGUAGAAGUCAAGGUGACUUGUAUGAAAAUACGGAAGCAGUAAGAAAUGACUUGUAUGAUCUUACUCAUUUUUGUUUGCUUGUGGACAGUGAGCCUCUAAGCUUUGAAGAUGCUUGCCAAAGUUCCACAUGGAGGGAUGCAAUGGAUGAAGAAAUCAAAGCUAUAAAAAAGAAUGAUACAUGGGAGUUGGUCACACUUCCAAAAGGCAAAAGCACCAUUAGAGUCAAAUGGGUGUACAAGCUAAAGAAGAAUUCCAAGGGAGAAAUAGAAAGGUACAAAGCAAGAUUGGUAGCUAAAGGCCGAUAUUGACUAUGAUGAAGUAUUUGCGCCAGUUGCUCGUUUGAAAACAAUUCGCUUUGUCAUUGCUUUGGCGGCACAAAAUCAAUGGAAAAUCCAUCAAAUGGAUGUGAAGUCAGCUUUCUUGAAUGGCAUAUUAGAGGAAGAGGUCUAUAUUGAUCAACCUUCGGGAUAUAAGGUUGAAGGACAAGAAGAUAAAGUCUUUAAAUUAAAGAAGGCUUUAUAUGGGUUGAAGCAAUCCCCACAAGCUUGGAAUAGUAUAAUUGAUAAAUAUUUCUAGCAAAUGGUUUUUCUAAGUGUCCACAUGAACAUGCUCUCUAUGUAAAGAUUGCUAAAAAUGGUGACAUCUUACUUGUUUGCUUUUAUGUAGAUGACUUGAUAUUUACAGAAAUAAUCCAAAGAUGUUUGAAGAAUUCAAGAAAGCAAUGGCUAGAGAAUUUGAGAUGACGGACAUUGGCCUAAUGUCCUACUAUCUUGGAAUUCAAGUAGCACAGAGGAAUGAUGUCAUUUUUAUUUUUCAAGGAGAGUAUGCAAAGGAAAUUCUCAAGAAAUUUAAGAUGGAGAAUUGCAAUCCCGUAAGCACCCCUGUUGAAUGUGGAGUUAAAACAUUCAAGCAUGGAGAUGGAGAUAGAGUCAAUCCCACAUUUUUCAAGAGUCUUAUUGGAAGCUUAAAGUAUUUGUCAUGUACAAGGCCGGAUAUUCUUUUUGGAGUUGGACUCCUGAGUCGCUUUAUGGAAACUCCUACUACCUCGCACUUAAAGGUAGCCAAAAGAAUACUUCGGUACAUCAAAGGUACGCUUGAUUAUGGAAUUCUUUGUUCAUCUUCUAAAGAAUCCAAGUUCGUGGGAUAUUGUGAUAGUGACUGGGAUGGUGAUAUUGAUGAUCGGAAAAGUACUCUUGGGUUUGUUUUCUUACUUGGAAAUUCUGCAUUUACAUGGAAUUCUAAGAAGCAACCAAUUGUGACUUUGUCAACUUGUGAAGCGGAGUAUGUAGCAGCUUGUUCGUGUGUUUGCCAUGCAAUUUGGCUGAAGAGCUUGUUGGAAGAACUUCACCAACCACAGAAGGAUGCUACAAAGUUUUUUUUUUGACAACAAAUCGGCUAUAGAUUUAGCCAAGAACCCGGUAUUUCAUGAAAGAAGCAAGCAUAUCAUUUUAUUAGAGAUUGCAUAUCUAAUAAAGUUGUGGAGCUUGAGCAUGUGAAGUCUUGAGAUCAAAUUGCGGAUAUUUUCACCAAACCUUUGAAGAUUGACGCCUUUCAAAAGUUAAGGAUGACACUUGGAGUAAUGAAACAAGUUUAAGGGGGAUGUUAAAAAUAGUAAUAAACUUGUUUCCAUUUGUCCACAAUUGUUUAGAUUUGUUUACAUUAAUUUAGUGUUUUCAUACAUAUAGUUAGAAAAGAGUGAGGUGUGGACAUGUGUGAACUAGUGUAGGCAUGUAUGGACUAGUGUGUACAUGUGGACUUAAUUAAUAUGUACACAUGAAGUUUAGGCUAGAUACAUGUAGGAGUUCUACUAUAAAUACCCAUGUAUGCUAGUCAUUUGGAGCAAGUGAAGUUGAAUAGAAAUCAUCCUUUCCUCCACCUCUCUAAUAGUGAGUUUUAAGUGUUUGUUUAGUUCUUGCUCUCCCAAAAAUUUCUAACAAAGUGCACAUAAUAUUUGUUAUAUAUGUUUGUUUGAUCGCAUAAUUAUUUUUGUAGUACAUUUCUAAUAUAAUGGCACUGAUGCGGAGCUAUAUUAUAGAUUACCCUGGGUACUACGAUUCUGCGGGCGUAAUUGUUAAUGUAAAGUUUUGUAAAUUUUGUAAUGGGAAUAUAUGAUGAACUUUUAAUUUUAGUAAAGUAGAAGAGAAAGAUAUUGAAGUUUUGAUAGAGGAGUAACAAGUCAAUUAGAAGAUUAUAAGCUAAAAGGCUGUUUUGUUUUUAUCGGCAUUGUGAUGUCGUGAUUGAGGUUUAUGACUGAAAUAACAAAUAUACAAAAAGGAAAGUGUUAACCAAUUCAUCAUACCCACUCAGAGGUUAUUUUUAAGGUUGCUCAGAAUAUCAGGCAUGUUCAACCAUUUGCACGAAGAUAAACUUACCAAACCAUGAGAGGUUAGGUAUGUUAAGGGUCUCCCAUAAAAUCCUAGCGGUGAAUUUUGUGGUGUUUAUUCCUUGAAGUUUUAGUGAGUUCAUCAUGGCUGGCAAAAGUAUAGUGAAUGUAAUACAUGCUUUUGUAGAGAGAUUUGCCAUUGAAAUAUUUCAUUAGGCAUUUGAACCAUAAGUCAGGCAUUCAGCUAUUUCUGUAAUUUAAUAGUAUUAGUUUAUUAUUUUAUUGAAUAUUAUUUUCUACUGACUUUAUUUUAUAUUCCUUCAAAAAAGUUACUAAUUCAUAGUUAUUGCUUCUAAAAUUUCCUUGCUAUGUCCUUCACCGUCAGAGUCUGAGGAUCAAACAAGACAAAUAACAUGAUCUCUCCCCUCUCCCCUACUACAAUGUCC
RNAcentral lists this long non-coding RNA (5290 nucleotides) under Nicotiana tabacum (common tobacco). RNAcentral's name for it is "long non-coding RNA (NTAB_LNC017474)". Lineage: Eukaryota; Viridiplantae; Streptophyta; Magnoliopsida; Solanales; Solanaceae. The record is from RNAcentral.